AUUGAACGCUGGCGGCAGGCCUAACACAUGCAAGUCGAGCGGAUGAAGGGAGCUUGCUCCUGGAUUCAGCGGCGGACGGGUGAGUAAUGCCUAGGAAUCUGCCUGGUAGUGGGGGAUAACGUCCGGAAACGGGCGCUAAUACCGCAUACGUCCUGAGGGAGAAAGUGGGGGAUCUUCGGACCUCACGCUAUCAGAUGAGCCUAGGUCGGAUUAGCUAGUUGGUGGGGUAAAGGCCUACCAAGGCGACGAUCCGUAACCGGUCUGAGAGGAUGAUCAGUCACACUGGAACUGAGACACGGUCCAGACUCCUACGGGAGGCAGCAGUGGGGAAUAUUGGACAAUGGGCGAAAGCCUGAUCCAGCCAUGCCGCGUGUGUGAAGAAGGUCUUCGGAUUGUAAAGCACUUUAAGUUGGGAGGAAGGGCAGUAAGUUAAUACCUUGCUGUUUUGACGUUACCAACAGAAUAAGCACCGGCUAACUUCGU
This 483-nucleotide ribosomal RNA is filed under the name uncultured bacterium. RNAcentral describes it as "partial 16S ribosomal RNA". It matches the Rfam family "Bacterial small subunit ribosomal RNA", at positions 30 to 506 of the family's 1533-position model. The record is from RNAcentral.